GACGAACGCUGGCGGCGUGCUUAACACAUGCAAGUCGAACGGAAAGGCCCUGCUUGCAGGGUACUCGAGUGGCGAACGGGUGAGUAACACGUGGGUGAUCUGCUCUUCACUUCGGGAUAAGCCUGGGAAACUGGGUCUAAUACCGGAUAGGAGCCAUUUUUAGUGUGAUGGUUGGAAAGUUUUUUUCGGUGUAGGAUGAGCUCGCGGCCUAUCAGCUUGUUGGUGGGGUAAUGGCCUACCAAGGCGGCGACGGGUAGCCGGCCUGAGAGGGUGGACGGCCACAGUGGGACUGAGAUACGGCCCAGACUCCGACGGGAGGCAGCAGUGGGGAAUAUUGCACGAUGGGCGCAAGCCUGAUGCAGCGACGCCGCGUGGGAGAUGACAGCCUUCGGGUUGGAAACUCAUUUCGCUAGGGACGAAGCUUUUUGUGACGGUACCUAGAGAAGAAGCACCGGCUAACUACGUG
This 466-nucleotide ribosomal RNA is filed under the name uncultured bacterium. RNAcentral's name for it is "partial 16S ribosomal RNA". It matches the Rfam family "Bacterial small subunit ribosomal RNA", at positions 28 to 507 of the family's 1533-position model. The record is from RNAcentral.